CAGUCGAGCGGAAGGCCCUUCGGGGUACUCGAGCGGCGAACGGGUGAGUAACACGUGAGCAACCUGCCCCAGGCUUUGGGAUAACCCCGGGAAACCGGGGCUAAUACCGAAUAUGACCUCUGACCGCAUGGUUGGUGGUGGAAAGUUUUUCGGCUUGGGAUGGGCUCGCGGCCUAUCAGCUUGUUGGUGGGGUGAUGGCCUACCAAGGCGACGACGGGUAGCCGGCCUGAGAGGGCGACCGGCCACACUGGGACUGAGACACGGCCCAGACUCCUACGGGAGGCAGCAGUGGGGAAUAUUGCACAAUGGGCGGAAGCCUGAUGCAGCGACGCCGCGUGAGGGAUGACGGCCUUCGGGUUGUAAACCUCUUUCAGCAGGGACGAAGCGUAAGUGACGGUACCUGCAGAAGAAGCGCCGGCCAACUACGUGCCAGCAGCCGCGGUAAGACGUAGGGCGCGAGCGUUGUCCGGAUUUAUUGGGCGUAAAGAGCUCGUAGGCGGCUUGUCGCGUCGACCGUGAAAACUUGGGGCUCAACCCCAAGCCUGCGGUCGAUACGGGCAGGCUAGAGUUCGGUAGGGGAGACUGGAAUUCCUGGUGUAGCGGUGAAAUGCGCAGAUAUCAGGAGGAACACCGGUGGCGAAGGCGGGUCUCUGGGCCGAUACUGACGCUGAGGAGCGAAA
Molecule: ribosomal RNA, 680 nt
Filed under: Micromonospora sp. FoRh53
Lineage: Bacteria; Bacillati; Actinomycetota; Actinomycetes; Micromonosporales; Micromonosporaceae
Description: bacterial SSU rRNA
Rfam family: Bacterial small subunit ribosomal RNA
Source: RNAcentral